UUUAGUUCUAAUAUUGAAAAUUAUACAGAAACUUACAUUUUAAAAUAACAAACUGUAAAAAAUAGCAAAACAGCAACAAUUUGAUUAUGCUAUUCCUUCUCUUACAAUGUUGCUUUGAACAUGUCCACUAUUUUGAUAUUCUAUUUUGAAUGACCUCCAGGUUAUCACACUGAAGAGAUGGUGUCCCAAAGUGAAUUUAUGGCCCAGGAUGGAGUGUUUCUCUCUCUUGCCUUGUCCUAGACAGUCUUCUUCUACAGAUGCAGUCAAAUAGCUCGCAUUUAAAGACCAGUGUUCGACUUUGUGUACCUGUGACCUUGGAUUCUCCAGGCCUCACCUGUCUUUCAUGCCCUCAGUUAUCUGCUGGAUCCUGGAAUCAGAAGAAUGGCCAUAUCCAGGGCAUAAAAUCCCACUUUCUCAGUAGCUGCCCAAGGACUCAGGUGGCCCAGCCCAGAGGUUCAGGGGAGCUGACAUCCUGCAAGACAAACUGUGACUCAUGGGGCCCAAGAGCCUGGGGAGAGCCAGGAAGCACACCUUUCUCCAUUCUUCCUGUUGAAUACCUCCCAGGUGUGGUGUUACUGUACCUUUUACCCAGAGAUGUCCCAUGGGAUGCCCAGAACCAUGGUGAGUCUCUGGGAAGCGGUGGUCAGCUGGGUAAUGCCCACUUUGUAUUUCUCCUUCCUCUCUUGUCAAUGCCCUGUUCCUUCAUCCUGGCUUCUCUGGGAUUGAAAUAGUAUGCAAACAUUGCCUCAGACUCUAUUUUCUAGAGUCUAGCCUAAGCCAGGCCCUACUCCCUUUUGUAUCUCUGGUUCCUAGAACAACACUUUACGGAGAGUUAGUGCUCAGUGCCUGUUUAUUGACUUGAAGAAUAAAAGAAUAACUGAUCAUCUGAAUGCCAAAAUGAAUUAAUGAAUGAGUCUUGUGUUCACGCCAGUAUUUCCACUGGACAAAAUUCUGAAUUUCUGAAGAGCCUCAGUCUCUCUGAUUGUAACAAACUAAAGGAAAGCAACACAGGGAAAGAAGAGAGGAAGAGAAAAGGUGGCAGGAAGAGAAAGAAUCCAAAAGAAAAACUGCCUCGCAAUCCCAAUCUGUUCCAAUUGCCUUAUUUGCUGAGUUUCACUUUGGGCCAAAACAGUACUAGUUUAGCAAAAGGGAGGCCAAGGCUGGAAUCACUUUUAAGAACUGAGGGCACAUGGAAGAUCUCUGAUACAAUGAAUGGUGGAUUAUUUUUAAUCUGGAAAAAUGUCAAAAGCAUGAGAAGCUCAAUGCCAACCACCCAACUUCAUGCAAACCUUUAAUUAGUUAUAAUACUUGGAAGCCUUUCCUGGGAUGCUGUUUCAUUGCCAGUGAACUCACCAUGCUCAGUGCCUGGCAACCAUCUGGUGCUGAAGUCACUGGGUUGGGAGCUGUAAGCCAGGCCUCGAGUCACUGCCUCGCCUCCCAUUCCUUGUGUGACCCUGGUGUGUCUCUUCCCUUCAAGACCUCUGCUGCCCAUUGUGCAAAGUGAGGACAAGAAGUUCUAACCUUCCCUCAGUCUAUGGCUGACAGUGAAGCAUCUAAAUCACCCACAUGUUGGUCUGUGGAACACCUUCAUUAUUUUGAGAGACUGUAAUAUGAUGGGAUUUCAGUUUACUUAACAUAGUCUUGAGAGGGAUUUCUGAGCAGCCCUGCUGUGCCUGCAGACCAAGGGAAGAGACAAAAGGAGUCCAAUACAAAGGCCGGGUGGUCAACAGGGCUUGAGACUCCAGAGUGUGUGAGAGACAAGAGAUAUUUGGGCCUCCAGACCACACUCUAGUUGCCCUGGAAUAAAUGGAGCGGUCCUAGCUGCCAUCCAAGGCAGCCAGCAUGUGUAUCUUGUUCAAUGUCAGGCUCAUCGAAGCUGGCCUUGGAGUGAGCAUUUCUCCAUUUUCUCUAUGAAACCAGAGUUGGUCGAAGCAUUCAGGGCAUGGGCCCCUGCAUUGUGCACGUGAGACUUCCCUGUUGUUCCUAGAAUCUGCUGCAACCUUUGAGAUGAUAACAUCCAAAAUGUUUUUGCCCCUUACACUGCCUUUUUUGAAAUUUCAAUGAUUAUUUUUUUAGCUGAAAGACAGAAUGACCCAUUGCUGACGUGGUGGUUUUGGUGUGUUCUCAUUAGGGAAGUGGUACAACCUCUGAAGACUCACAUCAUUUCACAGUCUGAGCCUUGAGUGGUCUUCCCUGCUCAGUGGAGAAGAUAUUGCUGGAAGCUGACAUACUUCUUUAUCUCCAGCACAUUUCACUCCUGCAAAUUGGCUUCCUUAUGUUGUCAUCAGAAAUGACCAUUCUCAAUUUUUUUCUGGGCAUUCUCUUCACCUGGAAUGUCUUCCCUGAUGGACCAAGAGAUUUAUCGAAAAUCACCAAAAACUGUCAUCAGAAUCAGCAUGGCUUUCAGUCAAAGACCCAUCUGGCAGGGCACCCUGCCUCUCCUCCAGGCUCCCACUCCUCCCGUCAGAUGACACCUACCAACAACUGAUCACUCCACCACCUUGGCCUUGAGAUUCGUGGGACUCAGGCCCCGCCCUUAGAGGCUGCUAUGCUGACUCUGUACUCUGUGCUUCUCUGAGGUUAUUUGGUGACUGAUAGCAUCAACUUCAUGUCCACAGGCUUGUUGAGUUCACACCUAGGGUGCCUGGCUCUCAUUGUGUUUGCUGUAAUAAAUAAUCACUGGGUUCUUACUGUAUCCAGCUCUGUUUUGGGAAAUGAGGAAACAGAUCAUGCUAAGACUGGACCAUAUCUUCAAGGAGCUCAGAGUCUACAACACCUCUAUAUGCAGUGGGGCAUGCAUAGGAGAAAAAGAAAUAUUCUGUAAGGACAAAGAAAACAAUUUCAUUACGGCACUGAAGAUUUUGAUCUCUCAAAAACACUCCAUUAAAGCAAGGUAUAAUUAUUUGGAGUCUAAAAUAAUUUGAUAUCAUAGAGAAAUAUUAUGCAGCAAAGAUGGGCAACUGGCAGAGGAAUGCAUACAGAUGUGUACCAAGAAACAUCAUAUGUCUCUACUGCAUGUGGUGCAACAUUUUAAUCAAGUCAAAGACUCUCAUGCUUGGGUUAGAAUCUGUAGGCAUCCACACCUGUGAACGUGACUUGUCAUGGUCUCAACCGAAAGGAUAGUGGCCCAGGCCUGCCUGGGGAUGCACUUUUUGGGUGAUGGUAAAUGUGCUUUUUGUGCGAGCAGAUAGCAGCCUUGCCCUCUGUGUGUGCGUACCUCAGAGUUCUCUCUCCAGAGGACUGGAACUUGCGGGGCAUAUGAGAAGACCCAGGCUCUCAGAGCAGCAGCAGCUGUCCUGGGCUCUGAGCAGAGAUUAGCGAGGCUCAGGCUGCAUUCCACAGCCUCCACCCCCUGUACUUCUGGCAGGGCGCAGUCCUACCUUUCAAACACACACACACACACUCAACUGCAGGUGAGGAACUGACAUUGCCCUGGGAGUUUCUGUCUUUGCAGAGGAAUAUUUUGAAAACUUCCACUCUUGCUUUCUCCACACUCCCAUCCAGCGUGCCUGGCUUCUUCUGCACUGUGCAUAUUCUGGCUCUUUGCCAGAGGCCUGGAAAAUCCUGCCAGGCAGCCGUUCACGCAGUUGCCCCCAGGGGCAGUGACUGACCAGGAGUGAGACACACCACUCUCAGCCCAGCUGUCUGCUCAGCGCAGCUCAAAGCACUUGUACCUUGAGGGAGAGAAACCCAAGCCACAAGUCCUGACAGCCUGUCACCUGAGUCCCUUGGAAAACACAAUCAAGAGCUUCCUGCCCAUUCAUGUCCCGAGCUGGCCGGGCUCAGUAGAUGCUGUGCCGCCAGCUCCUGGCUUAGCCGGCCUCCCUGGUGCGUCUGCCCUCAACUCUUUGUGCAGCUGG
This 3860-nucleotide long non-coding RNA is filed under the name Pan troglodytes (chimpanzee). RNAcentral describes it as "lncRNA (ENSPTRG00000054386.1)". Lineage: Eukaryota; Metazoa; Chordata; Mammalia; Primates; Hominidae. The record is from RNAcentral.